Mesocricetus auratus (golden hamster) is the source of this 1318-nucleotide long non-coding RNA. RefSeq lists it as uncharacterized. The record is from RefSeq and is a predicted model, not a curated record. Lineage: Eukaryota; Metazoa; Chordata; Mammalia; Rodentia; Cricetidae. The transcript has 5 exons.
CGGCAGGAAGCAGAGCGGUGGGAAUGGGGUAUAUCCACACGAGACGAGACUGCAACGGUGCAUCCACACGAGACUGCAACGGUGCAUCCACACGAGACGAGACUGCAACGGUGCUCGCAUAAAGUGUCUCCGGGAAACAGUGGCUCUUGGGAGGCCUUUGGUUUCUGGCUGUUCCUUAAGGACUCUGUCAGCCUUCCUCCCUCUAAAUGUACUCAUCCACACACAGAUGACCAUAUAGAAAAAUUAGAAGCUACAGGAGGACCUCUCUUAAAACACAGCAGCCAGAACAACUUAUGAAGGGCACAGCAGCAUCUACCUACGACUUGCAUCUUUAGGGCACUUAUCUUUUGAGCUUUGAACCCUGACCCAGUGGCUAUGCAAUUUCAUCAAGGUCUGCUGAAAACAUAAAGGACUGCCACCAGUGCAAGCUUAACAAUUCUUUUCUAUGAGACCACAUGAAAGCAAUGAGACCAUCAUUCGCACCUCUGUUAUUUGUACUAAGAACUUAAUUUUUGUGGUUGUUCGUGUCUGGUAUUUUGCAAAGACGCCUCGGAGGCCUUUGGAUUUUGAGGACAGGGAUGACACAGAUGUGAAAAUGAAAUGUCACAAACACGAGCUCCUGCUUUUGCCAAGGGUCAGAUACCGUGCCCACUUCAGAGGAGCCAUUCCAAGCCUGUCUGUCAUUCCCGCGCAAGCUGCUGGGUUUCCUGUUUAUGCGCGCAGAGUUCCACAUCCUGAGAGCUUGCCUUCAGCGGCAGGUUUUUCCGCACACCCUGGGAGAUCUCUUCCUCAAGCUGGCUCACUAUCUAUCAUCUUAGUAAGCGAUUGGAAUUUUGUUAAUUCCUGUUUUACUUUGUGCAUGCAGAAUGCUGCCAUUGUCAGAGGGAAGAUAAUGUUACUCAUAUAUGCUGCUGAGAGUCCCGUUAAGCAGGGACUUGGACAACCAGAGCAGUGGACAACAGCUUCAUGGCCGUCCAGGGUUUGGGGAUAUAAUAAACUCAUGUUAACACCUUUUCUAAUCUAACUACUUAUUCAAAGAAGUUUUAGUGCUUACUCUUUCCUAAAUAAUUCAAAAUUAAGAAAUUGCCUUGGUUGUGGCCAGAUGUGGAAUUAGUUGUUGUCCUCAUAGUAUGUGGGAUUUUCAUAAUUUCUGUGCCCCUUAAGACAUGUUGUGAGAUUAUAUGCUUGUUCACCACUAAGUAUAAAUAACACAUUGUUGCAUAGUCAUUCUUUCUAAGGACUGUUUGUAUCUCAAGAUAACAGCAUAAGCUGAGAAAAUAAAGGUUUGAAGUUGACGUUUUGGCUUUCUGGACAAAAG